UACAGAGGUCUCAAGCGUUGUUCGGAUUCAUUGGGUGUAAAGGGUGCGUAGGCGGCGCGGUAAGUCGGGUGUGAAAUCUUGGAGCUUAACUCCGAAACUGCAUUCGAUACUGCCGUGCUUGAGGACUGGAGAGGAGACUGGAAUUUACGGUGUAGCGGUGAAAUGCGUAGAUAUCGUAAGGAAGACCAGUGGCGAAGGCGGGUCUCUGGACAGUUCCUGACGCUGAGGCACGAAGGCCAGGGGAGCAAACGGG
Molecule: ribosomal RNA, 253 nt
Filed under: uncultured bacterium
Lineage: Bacteria
Description: partial 16S ribosomal RNA
Rfam family: Bacterial small subunit ribosomal RNA
Source: RNAcentral